Molecule: long non-coding RNA, 396 nt
Organism: Meriones unguiculatus (Mongolian gerbil)
Lineage: Eukaryota; Metazoa; Chordata; Mammalia; Rodentia; Muridae
Exons: 2
Source: RefSeq, a predicted model, not a curated record
ACUUGAGCAGCUCCGGAACUGCCGUUGUGCUGGCCGGGCUCCCGGCUCCGCCCUCUACGCUGUCGAGCGAGGACCUCGGCUUACGAGGGGUGGAGCUAGCGCAGGCGCCUAGAGCAGCUUCGGGAUCUCCAGGCUCCGAGACGCCGCCCUGCGCUCACCCGGUGGAAAUCGUGCGUCCGGCUGCCCUAAGGGCGCUUUUCACUGCGCACUGUGGACCUGCUGCUGCAGAGGGAUAGAGCCUUUUAGUUUCCUUGUUUUGUGCCCCGUACAAAUGCAGGCAUGAUGGAGAUCAAAUGGUCCAGCUCCCAGCUGGUCUUGAAGGAUUUAAGGGCUUGAAAACCGACGAGGACAUCGCUUGGCACAUAAGGAAACGCUCAAUAAAUGAUUCUAAUUAUA